Molecule: ribosomal RNA, 442 nt
Filed under: uncultured bacterium
Lineage: Bacteria
Description: partial 16S ribosomal RNA
Rfam family: Bacterial small subunit ribosomal RNA
Source: RNAcentral
CCUACGGGUGGCAGCAGUGGGGGAUAUUGGACAAUGGGGGGAACCCUGAUCCAGCGACGCCGCGUGAGUGAAGAAGUAUCUCGGUAUGUAAAGCUCUAUCAGCAGGGAAGAAGAAAUGACGGUACCUGAGUAAGAAGCCCCGGCUAACUACGUGCCAGCAGCCGCGGUAAUACGUAGGGGGCAAGCGUUAUCCGGAAUUACUGGGUGUAAAGGGAGCGUAGACGGUGAUGUAAGUCUGGAGUGAAAGGCGGGGGCCCAACCCCCGGACUGCUCUGGAAACUAUGUGACUGGAGUGCAGGAGAGGUGAGCGGAAUUCCUAGUGGAGCGGUGAAAUGCGUAGAUAUUAGGAGGAACACCAGUGGCGAAGGCAUCUCACGAAUCCGCGAUUGACGCUGAUGCACGAAAGCGUGGGUAUCAAACAGGAUUAGAUACCCCUGUAGUC